RNAcentral lists this ribosomal RNA (515 nucleotides) under uncultured bacterium. RNAcentral's name for it is "partial 16S ribosomal RNA". It matches the Rfam family "Bacterial small subunit ribosomal RNA", at positions 28 to 523 of the family's 1533-position model. The record is from RNAcentral.
GAUGAACGCUGGCGGCGUGCCUAAUACAUGCAAGUCGAGCGAAUGGAUUAAGAGCUUGCUCUUAUGAAGUUAGCGGCGGACGGGUGAGUAACACAUGGGUAACCUGCCCAUAAGACUGGGAUAACUCCGGGAAACCGGGGCUAAUACCGGAUAACAUUUUGAACCGCAUGGUUCGAAAUUGAAAGGCGGCUUCGGCUGUCACUUAUGGAUGGACCCGCGUCGCAUUAGCUAGUUGGUGAGGUAACGGCUCACCAAGGCAACGAUGCGUAGCCGACCUGAGAGGGUGGUCGGCCACACUGGGACUGAGAUACGGCCCGGACUCCUACGGGAGGCAGCAGUAGGGAAUCUUCCGCAAUGGACGAAAGUCUGACGGAGCAACGCCGCGUGAGUGAUGAAGGCUUUCGGGUCGUAAAACUCUGUUGUUAGGGAAGAACAAGUGCUAGUUGAAUAAGCUGGCACCCUGACGGUACCUAACCAGAAAGCCACGGCUAACUACGUGCCAGCCGCCGCAGUAA